Molecule: long non-coding RNA, 2405 nt
Organism: Stegostoma tigrinum
Lineage: Eukaryota; Metazoa; Chordata; Chondrichthyes; Orectolobiformes; Stegostomatidae
Exons: 5
Source: RefSeq, a predicted model, not a curated record
UACUAGAUGCCUCAAACUACGCCAAAGGUGAAAACAGCGUCCUUCUCCAACAGUGAAAAAGAAAUCCUCUUCACAAGAAGGAGAAGCCUGGGAACUAUAGACCUGAGAGUCUGACUUCUGUGGUGGAUCUAGACCAGAAAUGUGGAAAUUUUCAUAUCUUCAAUCUCUGGAGAUAAGAUACCUCUGGCCAAUGGACAGGUAAACAGAUGAAGAUAGACAUUCUAAUGCAGGAAGCAUUGGUUUCAAACAUGGAGACUUUAAAGACAAUCAGUUCAGGUGUCGAUGAAGUAAAUAGCAUAGAUGUCACUUGAUCCACCUGUUCUUCAGGGAAUUCAGUUGCUGGUGACUCGACUACUGCCUUAUGUGAAAAAAAACAAAAUAGUGCAAAACAUACCAACAGUACAUGAAGAAUUCCUAUGUGUUUUUAAGUUUGGUUUGGUUUUAGCAUUUGUGUGCAUUAAAGAAUUCAGGGCUAUAUUUUAGUUCAAAAACUGUGAAAUUGUUUAAUUUUUCUGUAAUUCUUUCCAAUUAAAACUGGCUUUAAAUAUCAGUUUGAAACCAUAGUCCCAUCAUUGUGGGAUAAGGAGGGAGUUUUGUAAACCCUAGGGUCUUUGCAAUGGUUCAUGUCACUUGGAGCAGGAAGAUUUGUCCUAGAGAUGUGAUAACUUGUCUGAACAUAUUGGCCCAAAGUAACUGAAUUACCUUUAAAUGGUCAAAGAUCAUCCAGGAUUUGAUUCUAUUAUUGGUUUUCAUGCUAUCUGUGAAAUUUAUAUCUUCUGUGGCAGAAGUGGGCUAUUCAACUUCUUGAUUAAAAAUCCUGGCUGAUCUUUGUUUUAAAUUGCACAUUUCCAUCUAAUCCAGUAUCUUGGUUCCUCGGAGUUUCAAGGUGUUUCAACCCACUGUCUUUUUUUCAUCUGUCCUAAAAAGUGACCCUUAAAUGUUAAAAUACCGUCCCCUGAUUCUAGGCUCACCCACAUCAAGAAACACUUCUACAUCCACUUUAUCAAGACUUUUCAGCUUCUAUACUUCGAUUAGUGAUUCAUUGCUCUUUACUGCAGUAGAGAACAGCUCAAUAUGUCCAAUCUCUGCCUUACAAUGAUCACCUCUUUCCAGCCAGCAACAGAGUAAUGCGCUAAUUGCAAAUGGCUCUUUUUAAUAAGUAAACUUAUCUGACAGCUAGCUAAAUGCUUCCAUUCUUCUGAGGUAUUGGAAAUUGAUUUUGUACUCAAAUGUUACUGUAGUUCGAGGCACAAUAAAAAUGAAGGGAAAGAAAAUGAAAGGACUGCAAAAAGUACUCAACCCUUUUUAAUCUUUUGAUUCCCUGUCAAUGGAUGCAUACAGACUCCAUUCAUAAUUAAAAUAUUGUUAACUGGCUCCCUUUGGGGAGGUCAUUUCUUACACAAUAUUUCUGGAUAAUGCCACAUAGACUAGUGUGUAGAUAAAAGACCAACAGUUGUGAUUUUUUUUCCGCUCCUGUCUGUUUUAUCUGCUGCACUGGUUACUCCCAUUUAACGUAAUAUAGCUGAUUUUAUUUUAGAGAACAAUUUGCUAAGUGCUUUUAGUACCAAUAAAUCUUGGUUAUGUGACGUCUAACGUUGUUUAGAUGCUUAACCAGAAAAUAAAUAAACAGCAACUUACAUCAACCCCUGGAGUGUUUCUUCUUUCUCCCUCUCCUUCCUCACUUCUUUCCCCCUCUUCUUCUCUUCCCCACCCCCCAAGAAACAACUUGAAUAAUUGAAGGAAAAUGUGACUUAUCCAAAGUUUGUGAUCAUAUAAAUGGAUUUGGAGCUGGUAGUUUUGCCACAUCAACUCAAAACUAUCAACUCUGUGGGUAGCAUGCUAAGCUUGAAUACUUGUGCCAUAACUGUAGGGGGAAAGAGAUGCACUGUCUUAUUCGUAGGAGGCAACUGAGGGUGUUCUUUCAGCAAACAGAACAGUACCAUGGACUGGAAGGAAGAAUGUAACUUCACCAAGAAGUUACAUUCCAACUGACCUGUGCAUAGUUUGUCAUUUCCAUUAUUGCUCAACUUUACCCAAUUUACAUUUCUGAACUUUACCCCUCCUAUUUGCAUUUGUUAGAUUGUUCAGCAUUUUAACAUGGUCGAACAUCUAAAGGGGGUGGGGGGAAGGUACAGUAAACAAACCCAGGACUCGCUGCAUGCUGAAACUACAAAACAAAUGCUUCAGAGCUUGGUGAUCUUUGAUUUAAAAAGAGCUGGCGUGGAACAUGUAAAAGAUAGAUCUCAACCUCUUUUGAAAUAACAAGGUUGAUGAAGGAAAUGCAAUGGAUGUGCAUAAAAAUUCUAAGAAGAUGUCAAAAUGAUUAAACAUGAGCUGUUAUGAUACCAGCUGAUGCUAUUGCUGGACAAGUGAGAUCCCAGACACAAAUGUUUCUUGAUGAUCAU